AUCCCUAGUGGAACUAUGUACGGCAUAGGCACCUCCAGCAAACUUGGCGGCCCUUGUUUUCUUCUUCGUUGGUUUUGUUUGAAGAAAACAACUACAUGCAUCGUUCAACUGUUCAAGGUAUCAAGACAAGAAGAUCCUUAUUCAAUUCGGGUCAGACAGCAUGUUCGUCUCUGCGGCUCUUUUGUCUCUCACUCUCUGCUGCAUGCAAAGUCCACCCAGGCGGCCAGGCCAAGGUAUUGGUAAACUUGCAAAAACAUUCUCUACAAUAAGCAUACAAAAAUUAGAUAAUAUAAUAUUUUCUCAUUCCAAAUUAUAAGUGGAAUGCUUUUCUCAUUUCAAAACACACCUUACAAUUUGGUUUGGUGGGAGUAUAAUAUAAGCAGUAUAAUAUAUUCUGUAUUUUCUGUUUUAAUAAAAUUAAUAUAUUUCUGGUUAGUUCACCCCAAAAAGCAAAAAGUUUUCAAGAUUUCCCGUCACAUCGAAUCUUGUGGCACAUGCAUGAAACAUUAAAUAUAGACAAAAGCUAAAACUAAUUACACAGUUUAACUGGAAAUCGCGAUACGAAUCUUUUGAUCCUAGUUAGUCCAUAAUUAAAUAAUAUUUGUCACAAACAAACGAAAAUGCUACAGUACCGAAAUCCGAAAUCUUUUCGGAACUAAACAAGGCCCUAUUUGGCAGAGCUCCACCACUUGAAAAAGUGAAUAUGGAUCCCUGAUUUACCUGGAUCCACCAUGGAUCUGAUAUUCGUAAAAGUGUUUGAUACAGCUUUACCUCCCUCUCUAUGUCACUUCCACAUGGGCCCCAAGUGUCAGGGGGUAAAAUAAAAAAAUGAAAAAAAGACUUUUCUUCUUCCUCCCUCUUGCAUGUGCAGGAAGGGUAGGUGCUCGUGACUGGCGGCACUGGGCCGGUGCGGGCAUGGCUCGGAGGGGCGCGUAGGAUGGUCGAAGCUCCCGCGAGGAGCUUGCGCGCAGGACGGAAGGAGACAAGCACGCGCCCGUGGUUAGGGUCC
Molecule: long non-coding RNA, 1009 nt
Filed under: Sorghum bicolor (sorghum)
Lineage: Eukaryota; Viridiplantae; Streptophyta; Magnoliopsida; Poales; Poaceae
Description: long non-coding RNA (SBIC_LNC015530)
Source: RNAcentral